UCUCCGUAGGUGAACCUGCGGAGGGAUCAUUACAGAGUUCAUGCCCUACCGGGUAGGUCUCCCACCCUAUGUUAUUAUUACUUUGUUGCUUUGGCGGGCCGUUAGGCUCCGGCCCGACUACCGGCCCCGGCUGGUAAGCGCCCGCCGGAGGACCCAAAACCCUGAAUAUUAGUGUCGUCUGAGUACUAUAUAAUAGUUAAAACUUUCAACAACGGAUCUCUUGGUUCUG
RNAcentral lists this unclassified non-coding RNA (229 nucleotides) under plant metagenome. RNAcentral's name for it is "partial contains small subunit ribosomal RNA, internal transcribed spacer 1, and 5.8S ribosomal RNA". The record is from RNAcentral.